Molecule: ribosomal RNA, 735 nt
Filed under: Triticum aestivum (bread wheat)
Lineage: Eukaryota; Viridiplantae; Streptophyta; Magnoliopsida; Poales; Poaceae
Description: partial small subunit ribosomal RNA
Source: RNAcentral
AUGAUCCCUCUCUCUGAAGAUGAGAUCUUUGAAACAAUCCGCUCUGCCAACUCUAAUGCGGCUUCGAGGCCUGAUGGCUUCUCCAUUCCUUUCUUUAGGCAGUUCUGGCCUCAGUUAAAGGGCCUCAUACAGGCGAUUAUCCAAGGUUUUUGGCUGGGAACUGUUGACAUCUCUAGAUUGAAUUAUGCGGUGCUCACUCUCAUUCCUAAAGUCAAAGGGGCUGACCUGAUUUCCCAAUUUAGGCCAAUUGCCUUAAUCAAUAAUUUUGCGAAGCUCCCGGCUAAGGGUUUGGCUACUAGGCUCUCUCCGAUCGCCCAUCGUGUCAUUAGUCCUUUCCAAUCUGCGUUCCUAAAGGGUAGAUUUAUUCUAGAUGGUGUAAUAUGCUUGCAUGAGAUUGUCCAUGACUUGCGAAUCAAGGGUACUAAGGCGGUGGUUCUCAAACUCGACUUCGAGAAGGCUCACGACUCGGUGAGCUGGAAUUUCCUUCGCCAAGUCCUUCUUGCUAAAGGUUUUGAGGGAGCGGUGGUUCAUCGUCUUAUGCAGCUAGUCUCGGGAGGUCAUACGGCUGUGUCGGUCAAUGGGAAGAUAAGUAAUUUCUUUGCCAAUGGCAGGGGCCUUAGGCAAGGAGACCCGGCUUCUCCCCUUCUCUUUAAUUUAGUAGCAGAUGCUCUCUCUCUCAUAUCCUAUCUCGGGCAGCUCUUGCUGGACACAUUACGCCUGUCAGUUCUCACCUAA